GAUGAACGCUGGCGGCGUGCCUAAUACAUGCAAGUCGAGCGAACAGAUAAGGAGCUUGCUCCUUUGACGUUAGCGGCGGACGGGUGAGUAACACGUGGAUAACCUACCUAUAAGACUGGGAUAACUUCGGGAAACCGGAGCUAAUACCGGAUAACAUAUUGAACCGCAUGGUUCAAUAGUGAAAGGCGGCUUUGCUGUCACUUAUAGAUGGAUCCGCGCCGUAUUAGCUAGUUGGUAAGGUAACGGCUUACCAAGGCAACGAUACGUAGCCGACCUGAGAGGGUGAUCGGCCACACUGGAACUGAGACACGGUCCAGACUCCUACGGGAGGCAGCAGUAGGGAAUCUUCCGCAAUGGGCGAAAGCCUGACGGAGCAACGCCGCGUGAGUGAUGAAGGUCUUCGGAUCGUAAAACUCUGUUAUCAGGGAAGAACAGAUGUGUAAGUAACUGUGCACAUCUUGACGGUACCUGAUCAGAAAGCCACGGCUAACUACGUG
RNAcentral lists this ribosomal RNA (497 nucleotides) under uncultured bacterium. RNAcentral's name for it is "partial 16S ribosomal RNA". It matches the Rfam family "Bacterial small subunit ribosomal RNA", at positions 28 to 507 of the family's 1533-position model. The record is from RNAcentral.